RNAcentral lists this ribosomal RNA (442 nucleotides) under uncultured bacterium. Its description in RNAcentral is "partial 16S ribosomal RNA". It matches the Rfam family "Bacterial small subunit ribosomal RNA", at positions 338 to 795 of the family's 1533-position model. The record is from RNAcentral.
CCUACGGGUGGCAGCAGUGGGGAAUAUUGGGCAAUGGGCGCAAGCCUGACCCAGCAAUGCCGCGUGAAGGAAGAAGGCUUUCGGGUUGUAAACUUCUUUGACAGGGGAAGAGCAGAAGACGGUACCCUGAAAACAAGCCACGGCUAACUACGUGCCAGCAGCCGCGGUAAAACGUAGGUGGCAAGCGUUGUCCGGAUUUACUGGGUGUAAAGGGCGUGUAGCCGGGAAGGCAAGUCAGAUGUGAAAUCUGGAGGCUCAACCUCCAAAUUGCAUUUGAAACUGUUUUUCUUGAGUACUGGAGAGGCAGACGGAAUUCCUUGUGUAGCGGUGAAAUGCGUAGAUAUAAGGAGGAACACCAGUGGCGAAGGCAGCUCACUGGACUGCAACUGACACUGAGGCUCGAAAGUGUGGGUAUCAAACAGGAUUAGAUACCCGAGUAGUC